This 1379-nucleotide long non-coding RNA is filed under the name Homo sapiens (human). RNAcentral's name for it is "HSALNT0046313". Lineage: Eukaryota; Metazoa; Chordata; Mammalia; Primates; Hominidae. The record is from RNAcentral.
AUUCUACUGUUUAUUACACAUAUUACAUUCUUAAAUAAAAAUGCGUCACAUAACAUUUUUUGCAUAGAUAUCUUACAAUAUACCAAUUUAAAAAAGAAUUAUGAAACAGACCAGUAACAAAAAUAAAUUUUUUCUUCAUUAAUAAUUUUGUAACAUUAACAUACCACCAUCAUAUAAUACAAAUAAUAGUUUUAAAUCUUAAGACUUUUGUACAGCAAAAAAACUUGACAAAGUAAAUAACCGAGGGCUAUAAGACUGGGUACUUCUGUGAUAUAUUAUAAAUACCAGAGAAGGCCUGAGAGAAUGUGACGGGGGAGGCUUCAAAAACAUUAGACAUUUAUUUUUGCCUCUGUGUUAGCAAGGAGAUCUUGGCCAUUAACAGGUGUAUUUUUCCUCCCUGGAAUGAAGCAGAAGUGAAGGACCUAGGUUUGCAGAAAUCGUUCUGCCUCCAGUCCAAAGGCCUAGGUUUAAAAUGUCCCCUCUGCCCACCCCCAACCCCUCCCCGCUAUGUGGAACUCCCAGUGUGGUUUCGAUAUACUGGCAAUUAUAAGCAUCCAUCCCCCCCAAAAGAUAUUAGGCACUGGUGGCUACUCCUCCGAAACGUCAGUAGCCUGUUUUCCUUCCGUGAAGGUACGCCACCCUCAUUAUGCUGACGUGGGGUCCAUCUUAUGGCAGUAGACAGAAGCUGGACUCACAGCAAGUUACGAUUCCAAAGCUCACAGUUGAAAAAAAAUUGUAUAAACAGUCCCCAACAAAGAACAUUAUCAACCUUCCCUCAUGACCACUGAGAGGGAGCCCUGUUUGAAAAGAAUAUCUUGUUUGGGAUAUUUGUCCUGUUUCCCGAGGACUUUUAUGUUAAAUGCAAAACACCUGAAAAAUACAGUACUCUAUUGGAAGGAUGCACAUAAGAAAGUUAACUGCAGCUUUAUUUUUCCCUUUUCUGGGAUCUAUUAGGAACCAACAGAGGAGAUUUAAGAGUGUUAAAAGCAAGAAAAUGCUAAUCAGGCAUGAGGUUGGCUGUCCUUUUACCCUGUUAUCAUCAGGCAAUCAAAGAUGUCUCCAAUAUUUUUACAAAAAUGCAGCUUUGUCAUGGAAUCUGAACAUCUCUUUUUCUGGACAUAAUACUCAUUGAAGAACAGUUUCAAAGCCAUCCACUUAGCACCCACCAAAUUCUUAGGCCAAUUCUCACAGUCAACAAAUGACUCUGAAGCAAGCAAGCACCACCAUUGAGUUUCAAUGCACCCUGCUCCAAGAAAGGUCAGGAGCAGAUUACAAAGGACCUCACUGAUACAAAAGAGAGAGAAAUUACUGAACAUUUCAGACACUGAUGAGGACCAAAGGGCCUUUGUUCUGCCACAUUCAAAUGAGACCACAGAUGA